CGCGGAGGUAGAGCAGUUGGUAGCUCGCAAGGUUCAUAACCUUGAGGUCGGGAGUUCGAGCCUCCCCUUCGCAA
Molecule: transfer RNA, 74 nt
Filed under: Candidatus Prevotella equi
Lineage: Bacteria; Pseudomonadati; Bacteroidota; Bacteroidia; Bacteroidales; Prevotellaceae
Description: tRNA-Met
Rfam family: tRNA
About the family: Transfer RNA (tRNA) molecules are approximately 80 nucleotides in length. Their secondary structure includes four short double-helical elements and three loops (D, anti-codon, and T loops).
Source: RNAcentral